This 61-nucleotide microRNA precursor is filed under the name Gekko japonicus. Its description in RNAcentral is "Gja-Mir-196-P3_pre stem-loop". Lineage: Eukaryota; Metazoa; Chordata; Lepidosauria; Squamata; Gekkonidae. The record is from RNAcentral.
UAGGUAGUUUCACGUUGUUGGGCCUUGGUUUGGAACACGCAAGAACAUCAAACUACCUGAU